GACCCACCAUUGCGGCGAGGUUG
RNAcentral lists this non-coding RNA (23 nucleotides) under Arabidopsis thaliana (thale cress). The record is from RNAcentral. Lineage: Eukaryota; Viridiplantae; Streptophyta; Magnoliopsida; Brassicales; Brassicaceae.